GUCCCGCCUCCCUCAGUCUUUAAAUCAGGGUGCAGUCCCUCACAGAGACUAUUCCACGACUCAAGCGCAUCGACGCAUCUCAUCCUGCACACUGCUGCUUCACAGAACUCGAUCCUUGCGGGACAGAAAAAAAAACUGAGGAAACAUCAUGCCCUUCACACGUGUCCUGAAAUCUGAGGGGAAAAUCGUGACCAUCAGAUUUUUCAAAGAUGGAUUGCGGAUGUGUGCCAUUGAUUGUUCAGCUGAAAAUGUUGCAGAUUAUAAGGCGGAGAUCUCUGAACGUACAAUUGGCAGGGAGCGGGCAAUGGCUUUACGUUUCCUACGAGGGACGACCUACUAUAGAAUUAAGGUGGCUGAAAAAACCCUAUUGGUUGAGCAGGCUGCUGGCUUUCAAGACCCGAUACCUGAUGACUACUGGUUUGUGAGGAAAAAUGAUGGGGGCGGUAAGAACUACAGCCUGCGCCCUUUGGUGGAUCAAAAUUGUUGUCUCUCGGUCGUCCGAAGAAGACCGUACAAUUUCAUUCUGAGCGACCGUCUUCAGGAGUCGGCACAGGUCACAGACGAAAAAAUAUGAGGCAUCCAUCACGAACGCAACUUCUUUUUCUACAACAGAAGUUAAGAACGCCAUUCUCCCUCUGCACCCCAUGCUUCCAGAUGUGCACCAGCUUGGAAAAUAUAGCAUCCUGUUUUUACUGCUUCGGUACCUUAUUCAAGAUGUACUCUUGCUAUUGAAGAACAGUUUUGGGACUUAGGGAAAAUACAGAUUUAAAGAAUGGUUAGCUAACGCAGCAGGGUUCUAGAUCUGCUGACGUUUAAUCCACUCCAGAAACAGUGAAGCUGUACUCUUCUCUAAACCUCUCCUGCUGAUAAGCUAUGUUAAAUCUAUCUUUCAAACUUUAACACGAAGUUAAAAAUCCUUCAGACUCCUCUUGAGUCUUACAAGAUAUUUAAGAGUUGUUUUCAAAAGCUAUGUAAUUCAACACAUGACUAAAAAAUUAAUCUACUUUUAUCAGCACAGUGAAGGGGUGGUUAUGCAAAUUAGCAUUGCCUUUUCUAUUGAGAGUUUAUUGCUGUUGAAAUGGGGGUUUGACCAAUCAGAAUUAAGCAUAACAAGACAGUAGUCUGUGAGAAAUGGGGUGAUAAGAGUUAAAAGUGUCCUCUUUAAUGUGAAGAUAUCAAAUGUUGGUGGGUUGGGCGUUUUCUUCUGUUUUGAACCACUUACUGUAUAUAAAAACGGCCAACGCAUCCUUACCUCCUCAACAUGCACAAAAGUGAAGCCAGAAUAUCCCUUGUAUUGGGUGAUGGCAUCUUGUGCUUGUGAUGUCAUUUAAACUCUGAACAAGCUGAAUCAAAUCUAUUUUAUACAUUUAAAGUUCUAUAAAUCAUUCACUCAGUAGUAGUGAAUGUUAUUUAUCAGCAGCAUUUAUGCAGUUUUUAACAAGUCCAUAUACUUAGCUCCAAAUCACAACAAAGGUUAUUUCAAGACGCCUUUACAAACGGAGAAAAGGUCUACACUGCACUCUGUUGUAUUAUUAACAAAGACCAAAACAUCAAGACAGAUAAGAUCCAGUCCCGUCUUACAGACAGGACUCGGUCUGAUUUCAUCUUAAUCCACCAUGAGCAGAGAACCUGCUUGAUGUAUCCACAUUCAAGAGAUUGAAAAAAGUGGUAUUGUGCUUUUUCAUAUUUUACAAACGAAUAUUUAGUUCAAAUGUUGGGUGUGAGAGUUUCAAAUUGUGAGGCAAACACAUGGUGAAUGUGAAUACCAGGAUGAGAGUGCAGGCUGCUCUGAACAGCUUGGUCCAGAGAGCGAUACAAGAUGUGCUCAGAUUGCCACAUACUAUUCCCAAAGUCAUAAUCUGUCAUUUUCGGAUUGAGAUACAUGACUUUUUGCAGCUUGGCAACAGUGGAGGAGGCUUCUUGAAUGCUGGGGUUUUUGGAGUGUUAAAGAGAGAGUUGCUAAAAGGAAGCACUCAGAGCCUCCAGAGGGACGACAGACGGCCUGAAAAUGAGCUUAAUACCCCUCUUUAAAGUUUUCCCUAUCACACUUUCUUUGAGGAUGAAUGCAUGUCAAUGGUUGCUGAAAGUGUUUGUGUUGCUUGUGCUGGAAGAAGGAAAGCUUUAAAUGCAUGUAUAUAUGUAUUUUUGUCAUAAUUACUCACCAAAAUUUGUGCAUAUUUUAAAAUAAACAGAUUAAACACA
This is a long non-coding RNA of Notolabrus celidotus (New Zealand spotty), 2202 nucleotides long. RefSeq lists it as uncharacterized. Lineage: Eukaryota; Metazoa; Chordata; Actinopteri; Labriformes; Labridae. The transcript is spliced from 5 exons. The record is from RefSeq and is a predicted model, not a curated record.